AGCCAGGAAUACAGUACCCCAGGCCUCAGAGCCUCUCCCUGUCACUCCAUAAGGCAGCAACACCUCUGGAAAGCUGAGGAAUGUACCGCCACCAAAGCUCUUCAUGCCACCUCGGACCCGAAAACUGCGCGUUAUCUACCAACUAGAAAGCGACUUUCCGGUCGGUAGUGCUGUGGCCCCAAAGAUUCACAGUCAAACCGGAAACAAGUUAGAAAAAAAAAAAAAAGGCCCCUCAAACAAGGGCACUCUAAACGUCAUAUCUGGUCUCCUGAUGCACACUGCGUCCACGCCAGCGGAAAUGACUUGUGUGACUGGGCUGAACAUCCAGUCAGCAGUUGUCUCCCAGCAGCCAAUCGGCUCUACCCACCUCUAGCCCGUCUUCCGUCUCUUAGUGGCCUGUGACGUAAAGGGCGGGGCGGGGGGGCUAGGUAAGGCAACAACAGGGCGUCCCGUCUUCUCUGUCGCUUAGGAAGCAGGCACCUGGAGGGAAGAUGGUUUACAUCUCGAAUGGUCAAGUGUUGGACAGCCGGAAUCAGUCCCCGUGGAGAUUGUCUUUCAUAACAGAUUUCUUCUGGGGAAUAGCAGAAUUCGUGGUUUUCUUUUUCAAAACUCUGCUUCAGCAAGAUGUGAAGAAAAGAAGAGGCUACGGGAGCUCCUCUGAUUCCAGAUACGAUGAUGGAAGAGGGCCACCAGGAAACCCGCCACGAAGAAUGGGUCGGAUCAGUCACCUUCGUGGCCCCAGCCCUCCUCCAAUGGCUGGUGGAUGAGGAAGGUAAACGUCUGCUCUGAGAAGCAGACAACUAGACAUACACACUCGUAGAAGGAAGCCAUCAAGAGGUGAAGAGCGGCUCAUGCAGGAGAAGAUGGUGUAUGUCCAAACAAGGAUUGCUCUGUGUCCUCACAGAUGAAUGAGGUCAUGCUGGGAAUUCCCUCUGCAGGAUCUGGCCUGACUGAUAAUGCAGUUCUAUAAAGUACAUGUUUGUCUCCUUAUCUUUUUUGUAUAGUUUACUAAAGUAUUAAUAUAGUUUUAAGAAGUAAAUAUUUUUAGGUUGCAGACCUUGAUUCUUCAUCUUUAUAUGAUCAUGCCCAACAUCUUUGAUCAGGAAGAAAUAAAGGCCAUGUAUUUAGUCUUGGUUUUGUUUGAUUGGUUUUGGUUUUGGUUUUGUCUGGCUUUUCCAAGCCACUGCCCCCUUCUCCAAUGUAUAUAGUCCUGUUAAUGUUGCCUUUUCUCAGCUUUUGAAAUACUGCUCACUGUUAUUUUGCUCUCAUUUAUAAAUAAACCACAACAUAAUUAUUUCAGUAGUA
This is an RNA transcript of Mastomys coucha (southern multimammate mouse), 1305 nucleotides long. It is a transcript of the gene named selenoprotein K, with no coding region annotated. The transcript is spliced from 6 exons. Lineage: Eukaryota; Metazoa; Chordata; Mammalia; Rodentia; Muridae. The record is from RefSeq and is a predicted model, not a curated record.